GGUUAAGCGACUAAGCGUACACGGUGGAUGCCCUGGCAGUCAGAGGCGAUGAAGGACGUGCUAAUCUGCGAAAAGCGUCGGUAAGGUGAUAUGAACCGUUACAGCCGGCGAUGUCCGAAUGGGGAAACCCAGUGCAAUUCGUUGCACUAUCGUUAACUGAAUACAUAGGUUAACGAGGCGAACCGGGGGAACUGAAACAUCUAAGUACCCCGAGGAAAAGAAAUCAACCGAGAUUCCCCCAGUAGCGGCGAGCGAACGGGGAGCAGCCCAGAGUCUGAAUCAGCUUGUGUGUUAGUGGAACGGUCUGGAAAGUCCGACGGUACAGGGUGAUAGUCCCGUACACCAAAAUGCACAGGCUGUGAACUCGAAGAGUAGGGCGGGACACGUGGUAUCCUGUCUGAAUAUGGGGGGACCAUCCUCCAAGGCUAAAUACUCCUGACUGACCGAUAGUGAACCAGUACCGUGAGGGAAAGGCGAAAAGAACCCCGGCGAGGGGAGUGAAAAAGAACCUGAAACCGUGUACGUACAAGCAGUGGGAGCACCUUCGGGUGUGACUGCGUACCUUUUGUAUAAUGGGUCAGCGACUUAUAUUCUGUAGCAAGGUUAACCGUAUAGGGGAGCCGCAGGGAAACCGAGUCUUAACUGGGCGUUAAGUUGCAGGGUAUAGACCCGAAACCCGGUGAUCUAGCCAUGGGCAGGUUGAAGGUUGGGUAACACUAACUGGAGGACCGAACCGACUAAUGUUGAAAAAUUAGCGGAUGACUUGUGGCUGGGGGUGAAAGGCCAAUCAAACCGGGAGAUAGCUGGUUCUCCCCGAAAGCUAUUUAGGUAGCGCCUCGUGAACUCAUCUUCGGGGGUAGAGCACUGUUUCGGCUAGGGGGUCAUCCCGACUUACCAACCCGAUGCAAACUACGAAUACCGAAGAAUGUUAUCACGGGAGACACACGGCGGGUGCUAACGUCCGUCGUGAAGAGGGAAACAACCCAGACCGCCAGCUAAGGUCCCAAAGUCACAGUUAAGUGGGAAACGAUGUGGGAAGGCACAGACAGCCAGGAUGUUGGCUUAGAAGCAGCCAUCAUUUAAAGAAAGCGUAAUAGCUCACUGGUCGAGUCGGCCUGCGCGGAAGAUGUAACGGGGCUAAACUGUGCACCGAAGCUGCGGCAGCGACACUAUGUGUUGUUGGGUAGGGGAGCGUUCUGUAAGCCUGCGAAGGUGGCCUGUGAGGGUUGCUGGAGGUAUCAGAAGUGCGAAUGCUGACAUAAGUAACGAUAAUGCGGGUGAAAAGCCCGCACGCCGGAAGACCAAGGGUUCCUGUCCAACGUUAAUCGGGGCAGGGUGAGUCGACCCCUAAGGCGAGGCCGAAAGGCGUAGUCGAUGGGAAACAGGUUAAUAUUCCUGUACUUGGUGUUACUGCGAAGGGGGGACGGAGAAGGCUAUGUUAGCCGGGCGACGGUUGUCCCGGUUUAAGCAUGUAGGCGGAGGUUCCAGGUAAAUCCGGUACCUUAUUAACGCUGAGGUGUGAUGACGAGGCACUACGGUGCUGAAGUAACAAAUGCCCUGCUUCCAGGAAAAGCCUCUAAGCAUCAGGUAACAUUGAAUCGUACCCCAAACCGACACAGGUGGUCAGGUAGAGAAUACCAAGGCGCUUGAGAGAACUCGGGUGAAGGAACUAGGCAAAAUGGUGCCGUAACUUCGGGAGAAGGCACGCUGAUAUGUAGGUGAAGCCCCUGCGGGUGGAGCUGAAAUCAGUCGAAGAUACCAGCUGGCUGCAACUGUUUAUUAAAAACACAGCACUGUGCAAACACGAAAGUGGACGUAUACGGUGUGACGCCUGCCCGGUGCCGGAAGGUUAAUUGAUGGGGUUAUCCGUAAGGAGAAGCUCUUGAUCGAAGCCCCGGUAAACGGCGGCCGUAACUAUAACGGUCCUAAGGUAGCGAAAUUCCUUGUCGGGUAAGUUCCGACCUGCACGAAUGGCGUAAUGAUGGCCAGGCUGUCUCCACCCGAGACUCAGUGAAAUUGAACUCGCUGUGAAGAUGCAGUGUACCCGCGGCAAGACGGAAAGACCCCGUGAACCUUUACUAUAGCUUGACACUGAACAUUGAGCCUUGAUGUGUAGGAUAGGUGGGAGGCUUUGAAGCGUGGACGCCAGUCUGCGUGGAGCCAACCUUGAAAUACCACCCUUUAAUGUUUGAUGUUCUAACGUUGGCCCCUAAUCGGGGUUGCGGACAGUGUCUGGUGGGUAGUUUGACUGGGGCGGUCUCCUCCCAAAGAGUAACGGAGGAGCACGAAGGUUAGCUAAUCCUGGUCGGACAUCAGGAGGUUAGUGCAAUGGCAUAAGCUAGCUUGACUGCGAGCGUGACGGCGCGAGCAGGUGCGAAAGCAGGUCAUAGUGAUCCGGUGGUUCUGAAUGGAAGGGCCAUCGCUCAACGGAUAAAAGGUACUCCGGGGAUAACAGGCUGAUACCGCCCAAGAGUUCAUAUCGACGGCGGUGUUUGGCACCUCGAUGUCGGCUCAUCACAUCCUGGGGCUGAAGUAGGUCCCAAGGGUAUGGCUGUUCGCCAUUUAAAGUGGUACGCGAGCUGGGUUUAGAACGUCGUGAGACAGUUCGGUCCCUAUCUGCCGUGGGCGCUGGAGAAUUGAGGGGGGCUGCUCCUAGUACGAGAGGACCGGAGUGGACGCAUCACUGGUGUUCGGGUUGUCAUGCCAAUGGCAUUGCCCGGUAGCUAAAUGCGGAAGAGAUAAGUGCUGAAAGCAUCUAAGCACGAAACUUGCCCCGAGAUGAGUUCUCCCUGAGACUUUAAGUCUCCUGAAGGAACGUUAAAGACGAUGACGUUGAUAGGUCGGGUGUGUAAGCGUAGCGAUACGUUGAGCUAACCGAUACUAAUGAACCGUGAGGCUUAACCUU
Molecule: ribosomal RNA, 2905 nt
Filed under: Klebsiella aerogenes
Lineage: Bacteria; Pseudomonadati; Pseudomonadota; Gammaproteobacteria; Enterobacterales; Enterobacteriaceae
Description: 23S ribosomal RNA
Rfam family: Bacterial large subunit ribosomal RNA
Source: RNAcentral